This 469-nucleotide ribosomal RNA is filed under the name uncultured bacterium. RNAcentral's name for it is "partial 16S ribosomal RNA". It matches the Rfam family "Bacterial small subunit ribosomal RNA", at positions 38 to 507 of the family's 1533-position model. The record is from RNAcentral.
GGGGGGGGGGGGGGGGGGGCGGGGCGGGGGGGGGGCGGGGGGAGGGGCCCUGGUUGCAGGGUGCUCGAGGGGCGAACGGGUGGGUAACGCGUGGGUGGUGUGCCGCUUACUGGGGGAUAAGCCUGGGAAACUGGGUCGAGUACUGGAUAGGAACCGGCUGUAGGUGGUUGGGUGGAAAGGUUAGUUUCGGUGAGGGAUGAGCUGGCGGCCUAUCCGCUUGUUGGUGGGGUAAUGGCCUACCAAGGCGUCGACGGGUAGCCGGCCUGAGAGGGUGGACGGCCACAUUGGGACUGAGAUACGGACCAGACUCCUACGGGAGGCAGCAGUGGGGAAUAUUGCACAAUGGGCGCAAGCCUGAUGCAGCGACGCCGCGUGGGGGAUGACGGCCUUCGGGUUGUAAACUCCUUUCAGCCAUGACGAAGCCCUUGUGGUGACGGUAGUGGUAGAAGAAGCACCGGCUAACUACGUG